GAGCUCAAAUUUAUAAUCUGGCACCUUCUGUGUCCUAGUUGGAAUCUCUUUAAAUGUUUUCCGCGUUGGACCGCACACAAGUCUGUUGGAAUACCCCGGCAUCUGGUGAAACCCCCGUAUAUGGAGCGGACGCCCAGCGCUUUGUGAUACAUUUUCAAAGAGUCGAGUUGCUUGGGAAUGCACUCAUAUUGGGUGGACAAUUCCAUCUAAAGCUAAAUAUUGGCGAGAGACCGAUAGCUAACAAGUACCGUGAGGGAAAGAUGAAAAGCUCUUUGAAAAGAAAGUUAACAGUACGUGAAAUUGUUGGAAGGGAAACGCUUGAAUUCUCACUUGCUUGCCUAGCAAUCCGUUUGCCGGCCCCCAUCUGUUCCGGGAUAGAUAAUGGUAGAGAGAAGGUAGCAGUUUCGGCUGUGUUAUAGCUCUCUGCUGGAUACAUCUUGGGGGACUGAGGAACGCAGUGUGCCUUUGGCGGGGGUUUCGACCUCUUCACACUUAGGAUGCUGGUGGAAUGGCUUUAAACGACCCGUCUUGAAC
Molecule: small RNA, 534 nt
Filed under: Rhodotorula mucilaginosa
Lineage: Eukaryota; Fungi; Basidiomycota; Microbotryomycetes; Sporidiobolales; Sporidiobolaceae
Description: eukaryotic LSU rRNA
Rfam family: Eukaryotic large subunit ribosomal RNA
Source: RNAcentral